CAGCAGUAGGAUGGAGGCACCAGGAUGAAGGAAUUUCUGUGGUUCUUCAUUGCCUUUUCUACUUUCUUUCAUGUUUAUUAUAUCAAAGUACCCCAGAAAGACAUGUCAGACUAGUGACUCUUCCAUGAAGCAGAGAAAGCCAACUCCAACAGCAGCCUGGUGGCUUCUGCCUGCAUUGAAGGUGUUUGCUGAAGAACAGGCUGCUUGCUCUCCAUCCUGACAUCUGUUAAGUCCAGGAGCAGGGCCUAUUUUCAGUAGCUGACUUCAGACAUUGCUUUCCACCAACCCCCAGCAGACAGGACUGAAGAUCAAACCCAAGGCCUCACACAUGCUAAGUGUUCUACCAUGGAGCUACAUUCCCAGUCUGAGUAAUUGUGGCAGGCUUGGAGCUUGCUGCUUGGAAAGAUCUUUCACUGCAUUUGAAGAUUCCUGAGCUUUACUGAACAAAAACUGAGCCAGUAGGUUCCUGCAGAUGCUGCUGCUGCUUCACAAUCAUCACCAGGGUUUUGUACCUUAUAUUUCCUAAAGGGAGAGACAAUGAGCUGCUUAAAGAAGACCGGCUGCAUGAAUUAUUCCCAGCCUUGCAGAAGUCCACAGCUUGAUGGUGCAUCAGUUAUGUUAAAAGACAAUGGUGGUGCCUGGUCCCGGAAAGAAAAGUGUUGCCUUCCAAGGAGCGGUACUAGUCAUUCUAGUCAUUUAGCAUCACCUAGGAAUUUUACUACAGUAUCUCAUCAACUUUACCACAGAAGAGCUGGAAACAAGUCUCGUGUUUACACUGAUGGAUAAUAAUGAUGCAGGAUUCUUUGUACAGCGCCUCUCUUCUGGCUCCAUGUGUGCUAAUUAAGCAUCCUUCCUUACAGUGACCACGCUCAGCCAGGUGCCGUCUUCCUCCUGCUCUCGUCUGUGCCUUCUGCUAGCACCCACAUUUCUAAAGAGGCACCCUGGACAGAAGGACUCGAAUGCAAGGACAGAGGCCUCUUCACCGUGGCAGAUGCUUGUCAGCUCUUACCAGCUGUGCAGGGCAGUUCCGAAGGACUAUUCUGCUGCGUGUGUAGGAAUUUAAUGACAGCAGGAGCUUAGAUUCUUAUGAGAAUUUGAUGGUGCUGUUUAGCAAGCAGUGUGAGAUAUUCAGCAUGCUGUGUUUUUGGUUUUCCACUUCCAGGAAGCUCUAUACUCCUAUGAUAUUUAAUUCUGGUGAUUUUUAUUCUUAUUUGUUGUUAUUGUUAGUGGUGCUGGGGAUUAAAUGUCUUCCUGCCUCAGCCUGCAGAAUAGUAGAAUUACAAAUGUGGGUCACAAAAUCCAGCUAAGAUAUAAUACUGAUAAACCAAUAAUAAUGUCAACAAAGCUUGUCAAGUACAGGGAAGACUUUAAAUACAGCCAAUGACAGUACAUAUAGCAUUUAGAAGGCCUGGUCGAGUCAGAAAUUCCUUCUGAGGUCUGUGUGAUUCUACCAUGGUUGCCUAAAAUUCCCUCUAUCAGUGUCAUUGCUGGCACAUAAGAAACUGUCCUCUGACUUUAUUCUCUUCCAAAAAAAAAAAAACAGUAAUAAGAACUAAGGAGUAAUAAAACCCAAAAUGUAUAAAUUUUGUUGUAAAAAAGAGAGGAAAAAAAAGUGCUCUAAAGUAUACAACUGCAAGUGUGUUUAGGGGUGUUAAAUAGCUGACCAUAUUAAUGUUUUUGGUUGGAUCAUUGAACACAACUGUUUGCAGUCUCACUGUUUGAAUGUCCAUUUUGUAUGUUUUGAUACUGUGACUUGAGCAACUAUCUCUAAGAUGAUAAUUGUAAUCUAUUAACUGGUGAUUUCUUACUUUUUUUUGUACCUCUGUAUUAAUUUUAUCC
Molecule: long non-coding RNA, 1839 nt
Organism: Cavia porcellus (domestic guinea pig)
Lineage: Eukaryota; Metazoa; Chordata; Mammalia; Rodentia; Caviidae
Exons: 3
Source: RefSeq, a predicted model, not a curated record